CAGUUCCUGUCUAUCCAUGCGGUCUGCCUCUUGCUCCUGAAAUCUCUAGACAUCUCGCAUCUUACCGAGCUGUUUUCUCUGUCUUAGCCACCGCCCAGCGCCAGGGCGCCAGGGCCUGCAACUGGCCUGAAGACUGAUGGAACUGUCCUUGUGAUGGAGUUGCUGGUUCUGCAGCAGCUACUGCCCUUCUUCUCUUGCAAGCCCAGGUCCAGGACCCUCACUCCCUCGUGGGCUUCUGUUCAGGGAGAGGAUGUCCCUGGCCUGUGUUUGACACUGCUAAAGAAACAGCACACUCAAGACUGUCACGGCCUCAGCAUCCUAUUGAAUGAAGCACUUCGUAACGGUUGGCAUAGCCGGUAGAACAAACAUGUCACCCCUGCCUUGGAAGACCUCCAGUCCCUCUCCUAGAGCCUGCAGGCCUCUGCAGAGUUUACCAGCUCUCAUGGCCCUUGGAGUUCUACAUUGCCAUCACUCACUGGCCACUGUUCCUAGCCAUUCACUCCUCUGCCAUUGGUCCUGGCCUUUCGAGACACCCUUAGAAUGCCUGGUUGUUAGGCUGUCCUGGGAGGAACAGGUAAAGUUGGAGGGUCAAGUGGUGGGGAGGUAG
This 607-nucleotide long non-coding RNA is filed under the name Castor canadensis (American beaver). RNAcentral's name for it is "lncRNA (ENSCCNG00000012297.1)". Lineage: Eukaryota; Metazoa; Chordata; Mammalia; Rodentia; Castoridae. The record is from RNAcentral.